This 550-nucleotide ribosomal RNA is filed under the name Funneliformis mosseae. RNAcentral describes it as "SSU rRNA". It matches the Rfam family "Eukaryotic small subunit ribosomal RNA", at positions 548 to 1098 of the family's 1831-position model. The record is from RNAcentral. Lineage: Eukaryota; Fungi; Glomeromycota; Glomeromycetes; Glomerales; Glomeraceae.
UUGGAGGGCAAGUCUGGUGCCAGCAGCCGCGGUAAUUCCAGCUCCAAUAGCGUAUAUUAAAGUUGUUGCAGUUAAAAAGCUCGUAGUUGAAUUUCGGGAUCAAUAUUUCGGUCAUGCCGUUGGUAUGCACUGUUAUCAUUGAUUUCUCACCUUCUAAAGAACCGUAAUGCCAUUAAUUUGGUGUUACGGGGAAUUAGGACUGUUACCUUGAAAAAAUUAGAGUGUUUAAAGCAGGCUCACGCUUAAAUACAUUAGCAUGGAAUAAUGAAAUAGGACAUCCGAUUCUAUUUUGUUGGUUUCUAGGAUCGAUGUAAUGAUUAAUAGGGAUAGUUGGGGGCAUUAGUAUUCAAUUGUCAGAGGUGAAAUUCUUGGAUUUAUUGAAGACUAACUACUGCGAAAGCAUUUGCCAAGGAUGUUUUCAUUAAUCAAGAACGAAAGUUAGGGGAUCGAAGACGAUCAGAUACCGUCGUAGUCUUAACCAUAAACUAUGCCGACUAGGGAUCGGAUGAUGUUAAUUUUUUAAUGACUCAUUCGGCGCCUUACGGGAAAC